UACGUAGGGUGCAAGCGUUGUCCGGAAUUAUUGGGCGUAAAGAGCUCGUAGGCGGUUUGUCGCGUCUGCUGUGAAAACUCGGGGCUUAACUCCGGGCCUGCAGUGGGUACGGGCAGACUAGAGUGCGGUAGGGGAGAACGGAAUUCCUGGUGUAGCGGUGAAAUGCGCAGAUAUCAGGAGGAACACCGGUGGCGAAGGCGGGUCUCUGGGCAACAACUGACGCUGAGGAGCGAAAGCGUGGGGAGCGAACAGG
Molecule: ribosomal RNA, 253 nt
Filed under: uncultured bacterium
Lineage: Bacteria
Description: partial 16S ribosomal RNA
Rfam family: Bacterial small subunit ribosomal RNA
Source: RNAcentral